AGGAGGCCUCCCCUGAUGAGAAAGAGCUUGGAGUAUCGAGAAGGGUUCAGUCACCUAGUUCAAGAAACAGAAUUGGAGGAUACAGCCUUAGAAUACUUACAGGACUUCUGCUCUUCUCACGUAUGCGAUGAAGACAGCGAGGAACAGCAGCCGAGCCUCCCUCAAGGCUCCCACCAGAAAUGGGGCGCGGGUGUGCACUGUGGAAUGCACACACUGAGACCCCUCAGGGGCAGACCCGGUGUCUUUCUGAGGACCACUGCAUCUGCGGUUUGGGCUGCCAAAACGUGGCUGGUGGCCAGAGGGCUUGACUUUGCUGUGAAGUCUCCACAAAAUAAUGAUACAG
This 343-nucleotide long non-coding RNA is filed under the name Heterocephalus glaber (naked mole-rat). RNAcentral describes it as "lncRNA (ENSHGLG00100038156.1)". Lineage: Eukaryota; Metazoa; Chordata; Mammalia; Rodentia; Bathyergidae. The record is from RNAcentral.